Molecule: long non-coding RNA, 289 nt
Organism: Gymnogyps californianus (California condor)
Lineage: Eukaryota; Metazoa; Chordata; Aves; Accipitriformes; Cathartidae
Exons: 4
Source: RefSeq, a predicted model, not a curated record
GAAGAAGAGGAGCUCCAGUGAGGAGUGGGGUGUGAGAGAAACAACCGUGCGGACCCCGAGGACCAGCCAAGCGACGUUUCUGAACGACUGAGGCUUUGUGCUCGACAAAGGGGUAGGAGAGGAUCACUGCUGGAGGUAUAGUCAUUAUGGAGAUCAGAGAGAGGCCGUCGAGCACCACCAAGGGGUAACCGCGGCAGAGGAUGGGACCAUCAGGUGGACUUCCCUCCGUUCAGGACACUUGAAACGAGAGUCAGCACCACGCAGAAAUGGGAAACCCUGAGGAAUGGCG